AUUGAACGCUGGCGGCAUGCCUUACACAUGCAAGUCGAACGGCAGCGGGGGAGAAGCUUGCUUUUCCUGCCGGCGAGUGGCGAACGGGUGAGUAAUACAUCGGAACGUGCCCUGUAGUGGGGGAUAACUAGUCGAAAGAUUAGCUAAUACCGCAUACAACCUGAGGGUGAAAGUGGGGGACCGCAAGGCCUCAUGCUAUAGGAGCGGCCGAUGUCUGAUUAGCUAGUUGGUGGGGUAAAGGCCUACCAAGGCGACGAUCAGUAGCUGGUCUGAGAGGACGAUCAGCCACAGUGGGACUGAGACACGGCCCAGACUCCUACGGGAGGCAGCAGUGGGGAAUUUUGGACAAUGGGCGAAAGCCUGAUCCAGCAAUGCCGCGUGCGUGAAGAAGGCCUUCGGGUUGUAAAGCACUUUUGUCCGGAAAGAAAUGGCUCUGGUUAAUACCUGGGGUCGAUGACGGUACCGGAAGAAUAAGGACCGGCUAACUACGUGCCAGCAGCCGCAGUAA
Molecule: ribosomal RNA, 508 nt
Filed under: uncultured bacterium
Lineage: Bacteria
Description: partial 16S ribosomal RNA
Rfam family: Bacterial small subunit ribosomal RNA
Source: RNAcentral